This 110-nucleotide long non-coding RNA is filed under the name Dermacentor andersoni. RNAcentral's name for it is "uncharacterized LOC126539040". Lineage: Eukaryota; Metazoa; Arthropoda; Arachnida; Ixodida; Ixodidae. The record is from RNAcentral.
GCUUGCCGACAGGUAAACCGCCGCUGUACUUAGAUGCAAAAGCUGCCUCCCUUAUCUGGAACAGAAUAAAUUCCUUUCGAAGGCAAAAUAAAAAACAGAAAGAGAAGUCA